Molecule: ribosomal RNA, 441 nt
Filed under: uncultured bacterium
Lineage: Bacteria
Description: partial 16S ribosomal RNA
Rfam family: Bacterial small subunit ribosomal RNA
Source: RNAcentral
CCUACGGGAGGCAGCAGUGGGGAAUAUUGCACAAUGGGGGAAACCCUGAUGCAGCGACGCCGCGUGAGUGAAGAAGUAUUUCGGUAUGUAAAGCUCUAUCAGCAGGGAAGAAAAAAGACGGUACCUGACUAAGAAGCCCCGGCUAACUACGUGCCAGCAGCCGCGGGAAUACGUAGGGGGCAAGCGUUAUCCGGAUUUACUGGGUGUAAAGGGAGCGUAGACGGGGAAGCAAGUCUGAAGUGAAAGCCCGGGGCUUAACCACGGGACUGCUUUGGAAACUGUUUGACUAGAGUGCUGGAGAGGUAAGUGGAAUGCCUAGUGUAGCGGUGAAAUGCGUAGAUAUUAGGAGGAACACCAGUGGCGAAGGCGGCUUACUGGACAGUAACUGACGUUGAGGCUCGAAAGCGUGGGGAGCAAACAGGAUUAGAUACCCUAGUAGUC